ACGGAGGGGGCUAGCGUUGUUCGGAAUUACUGGGCGUAAAGCGUGCGUAGGCGGCCUUUCAAGUUGGGUGUGAAAGCCCGGGGCUUAACCCCGGAAAUGCGCCCAGGACUGUUUGGCUAGAGUCUCGGAGAGGUGAGUGGAACUCCCAGUGUAGAGGUGAAAUUCGUAGAUAUUGGGAAGAACACCAGUGGCGAAGGCGGCUCACUGGACGAGUACUGACGCUGAGGCACGAAAGCGUGGGGAGCAAACAGGA
RNAcentral lists this ribosomal RNA (253 nucleotides) under uncultured prokaryote. RNAcentral describes it as "partial 16S ribosomal RNA". It matches the Rfam family "Bacterial small subunit ribosomal RNA", at positions 525 to 777 of the family's 1533-position model. The record is from RNAcentral.